Molecule: long non-coding RNA, 1603 nt
Organism: Hordeum vulgare subsp. vulgare (domesticated barley)
Lineage: Eukaryota; Viridiplantae; Streptophyta; Magnoliopsida; Poales; Poaceae
Exons: 2
Source: RefSeq, a predicted model, not a curated record
AUGGUUUCAAAUCUGGUUCAUUUUGUGUUCAUGUUUAGAAAAAAGUUUAAAACAGUGAAAAAAUCCUAACACCUCCACCUCGUCUUCUCCCACCCGGGAUCCUCCCAGAUCCGCAGCCUCCCCCUUGUCCCUCCUCAAUUUCCGUGGCAACCAAUCCUCCCUCAGCCAUCCUUUGCUUACUCCACGGUAGUAGCAACCCCGAGCUCCUCCACGCCUCCCUCUGAUGUGCCUCGACAGGAACCAGGAGUCAGAGCCCCUCCCUCUGCCCGUAGCGCCCCUGCAGCCCGAGGCCGUAGCCUCCCCCUCGCGAAAGCAUCUACCUCAGCUUCUGCAUCGUGCUUCCUCGACCUCCAGCCCGUCGCUCCUCGCUGCCCUCUACGGGAGAUGCACCGAAGCAGAAACGCCAGACCUCGCUGUCCCCGAGGCCAGCCAGGCCACGUCCUUGCUGGAGCCCCGCAUCACCGGCACCCAGAAGGAACAAUGAGGGGUCUGUGCUUCGAGCUCUCCCGUCGUCGACUCCUGAUUCGCCGCCCAGCUAUCCAGCCAGCGGAUCCGCCGCGAUUUCCACCGUCCAUGGCCUCCGCCUGAGCCGUCCGUCUUCGUGAGAUCGCCAUGGGGGCCCUCGCUCGAGCCCCACCGACGGUAGUCUCCUUCCCGCACCGGGUCUGCACCCAGCUUCCUCCCCGCGUUGUUCCAUUCCCAGCCUCCGCGCCUACCGUCGACGCCGGAGUAGUGCUAGCCUGCCGGUCUCUGAAUCCCCGAUGUGAGCACCUUGUCGCAUAACUGUUUUUUGUUCAGUCCUACAUCCAUUCUGGUGCAUUAGCGUAUUUAGAGCAUCUCCAACAGCCGCGUUAAACUAGCGUUGCGCCGCAAAAUAGCCCGUUUUAGCGCGCGCGCAACGCGGAAGAUAGCUCCAGCGGGCACACAAAAAUGAUGCGCGCGGCAUAUGCAGUUCAACGCGCUGGCCGAAACGUAAUCGCGCGCCGCUUAUUUGCUGCGCCAGCUCCCGCGCGUUGGACUCUCCCGCGCUAGCUCCUUCACUCUCGCGCGCUCGCUCCUCUACUUUCUUGCGCUCGCUCCCCACUUCCACCCCCAUCCGGCCGCGCCGCCGCCACCGCUCGCGCCCUCGUCGACCGUUCAGACGCUUCCCCGGCCUAUCCCCGUGGCGCCGUCGCUGCCCACGCCCCCCGGCGACCGUUUAGGCGCUUCCCCGGCUAUCUCCGCAGCCGCCGCCGGCCGCGCCCCCCGGCGACCGUUCAGGCGCUUCCUCGGCCUCCCCGCGCCACCGCGCUUCCGCCCCACCCCCUCCUAGUCCCGCCGGCCGUCACACGCCUCCCUCAUCCGAGGAACAACGCCCGAGCGCUCGCGGCCGCAGCGCCCGCAAGGUGUUCGACAAAACGCCUACAAGAUGAGUUCGUCGUAUGAUUCUUCCGAAGAAGAAUUUGAUAUGGAAGAGGAGGAGUGGUGGGCAUGGCAUGGACGAGAAAGAGCAUGAUUUCUGCAUUCGACAUUGUAUUGUUCAUGAACUAUUGGUUGUGUUUAAUGCAUUAUUUUUUGUAGUGAACGAUUAUUUGAGUUCUAAUUAUUAUUUAUUGUUGAUUUA